UGGUGAUGAUGAUAAAACUUAGGCUUGUUUCUCAAAACAUUCGCAGUUGGUGCCUAAGAGCUUUCGCCCUGCCAGGCUUGAGAGCUAAUGCUGCUAAUUCCUUCCUUGGAUGUCUGAGCCA
This 121-nucleotide small nucleolar RNA is filed under the name Triticum aestivum (bread wheat). Its description in RNAcentral is "Small nucleolar RNA SNORD14". It matches the Rfam family "Small nucleolar RNA SNORD14". Rfam says of the family: U14 small nucleolar RNA (U14 snoRNA) is required for early cleavages of eukaryotic precursor rRNAs. In yeasts, this molecule possess a stem-loop region (known as the Y-domain) which is essential for function. Lineage: Eukaryota; Viridiplantae; Streptophyta; Magnoliopsida; Poales; Poaceae. RNAcentral also lists the same sequence under 1 other name. The record is from Rfam by way of RNAcentral.